This 159-nucleotide ribosomal RNA is filed under the name uncultured bacterium. RNAcentral's name for it is "partial 16S ribosomal RNA". It matches the Rfam family "Bacterial small subunit ribosomal RNA", at positions 1342 to 1500 of the family's 1533-position model. The record is from RNAcentral.
UCGCAGAUCAGCAUGCUGCGGUGAAUACGUUCCCGGGCCUUGUACACACCGCCCGUCACACCAUGAGAGUCGAUAACACCCGAAGCCUGUAGUCUAACCAUAAGGGGGACGCAGUCGAAGGUGGGAUUGAUAAUUAGGGUGAAGUCGUAACAAGGUAUC